CUCAGUUUCUUCUACUUUAUCAGUGAUGAAGGUCAUGGAGGAAGACACGCACACUGAAACAGGAGAAAAGAGAAAGGAAUUUCACAACCUUCAGAAAGAAGAAAAAAAAUCCAGUACUGCUUCUCAUUUAAAAGAUACGUACACAAUUAAAUGCAUUUUGACUUCAA
Long non-coding RNA from Mesocricetus auratus (golden hamster), 167 nucleotides. RefSeq lists it as uncharacterized. Lineage: Eukaryota; Metazoa; Chordata; Mammalia; Rodentia; Cricetidae. The record is from RefSeq and is a predicted model, not a curated record. The transcript has 2 exons.